GACGGAGGGUGCAAACGUUGUUCGGAAUCACUGGGCAUAAAGAGCACGUAGGCUGCGCGCUAAGUCAGGUGUGAAAUCCCCCGGCUCAACCGGGGAACUGCACCUGAUACUGGCGUGCUCGAGGACGGUAGGGGUGAGUGGAACUCCAGGUGGAGCGGUGAAAUGCGUAGAUAUCCUGAGGAACACCGGUGGCGAAAGCGGCGCGCUGGACCCCUUCUGACGCUGAGGCGCGAAAGCCAGGGGAGCAAACGGG
Molecule: ribosomal RNA, 253 nt
Filed under: uncultured bacterium
Lineage: Bacteria
Description: partial 16S ribosomal RNA
Rfam family: Bacterial small subunit ribosomal RNA
Source: RNAcentral